UACGUAGGGGGCGAGCGUUAUCCGGAUUUACUGGGUGUAAAGGGAGCGUAGACGGCAAUGCAAGUCUGAAGUGAAACCCCAAGGCUCAACCAUGGGCAUGCUUUGGAAACUGUGUAGCUAGAGUGCAGGAGAGGCAGGCGGAAUUCCUAGUGUAGCGGUGAAAUGCGUAGAUAUUAGGAGGAACACCAGUGGCGAAGGCGGCCUGCUGGACUGAAACUGACGUUGAGGCUCGAAGGCGUGGGGAGCAA
RNAcentral lists this ribosomal RNA (248 nucleotides) under uncultured Eisenbergiella sp. RNAcentral's name for it is "partial 16S ribosomal RNA". It matches the Rfam family "Bacterial small subunit ribosomal RNA", at positions 524 to 771 of the family's 1533-position model. The record is from RNAcentral. Lineage: Bacteria; Bacillati; Bacillota; Clostridia; Lachnospirales; Lachnospiraceae.